GGACCACAACAAAUAGAGAUACCAUAUUUAUUCAUUGACUUCCUAAAGUCUUUAACCUUUUCCAGCAACCAUUCUACUAAUAGACAAGCCUUAACCCACUACACUACACCUUUUAAAAACAAGAAUCUGACGAAGCAAAAAAUCAAAAUAUGACAAACCCACAACUCCAACACUAACUCGGAAUAUUGAUCACAAAAAUAAUUGAAUAAAAAAUGCAUUAAAAGCCGAAACAACUUGGAAUAUUGAAAGCCC
RNAcentral lists this long non-coding RNA (252 nucleotides) under Prunus persica (peach). RNAcentral's name for it is "long non-coding RNA (PPER_LNC002138)". The record is from RNAcentral. Lineage: Eukaryota; Viridiplantae; Streptophyta; Magnoliopsida; Rosales; Rosaceae.